This 1239-nucleotide small RNA is filed under the name uncultured bacterium. RNAcentral describes it as "bacterial SSU rRNA". The stretch from base 1 to 488 matches the Rfam family "Bacterial small subunit ribosomal RNA", at positions 1045 to 1533 of the family's 1533-position model. The record is from RNAcentral.
AUGGCUGUCGUCAGCUCGUGUCGUGAGAUGUUGGGUUAAGUCCCGUAACGAGCGCAACCCUUGUCCUUAGUUGCCAGCAUUUUAGGUGGGAACUCUAAGGAGACUGCCGGUGAUAAACCGGAGGAAGGUGGGGAUGACGUCAAGUCAUCAUGGCCCUUACGGCCUGGGCUACACACGUGCUACAAUGGUCGGUACAGAGGGUUGCUAAGCCGCGAGGUGGAGCCAAUCCCACAAAGCCGAUCGUAGUCCGGAUUGAAGUCUGCAACUCGACUUCAUGAAGUCGGAAUCGCUAGUAAUCGCAGAUCAGAAUGCUGCGGUGAAUACGUUCCCGGGCCUUGUACACACCGCCCGUCACACCAUGGGAGUGGCUUGCAAAAGAAGUACGUAGCUUAACCUUCGGGAGGGCGCUUACCACUUUGUGAUUCAUGACUGGGGUGAAGUCGUAACAAGGUAGCCGUAGGGGAACCUGCGGCUGGAUCACCUCCUUAAAAGUAUAGUGGUCAAUCCUAUACGUCGAGCGCCCGCACAAAUUUCUUGAUCAGAUGUAUUGCGUGAAGGUCCAACUGGCUAUGUAAUUGGACUGAAUACAGAAGCAACAUAAAUAUUGUUGUUACAAAGUUUGGGUCUGUAGCUCAGUUGGUUAGAGCGCACCCCUGAUAAGGGUGAGGUCGGUGGUUCAAAUCCAUCCAGACCCACCAGAUUCGUAUUUCAAUCUGGAGUACUGAUUCGAUUUAUUUAAUCACUACUAAUUUAUUUAAUCACUACUAAUUGAUUGGUAAAAUACAUAUUAUCGUGGCCAUAGCUCAGCUGGGAGAGCGCCUGCCUUGCACGCAGGAGGUCGGCGGUUCGAUCCCGCCUGGCUCCACCAGAAUUACUUUAAGAUUUGAGUAAGUAAUAACUUACUUAAUUAUGUUCUUUAAAAAUUUGGGAAAUUGAUUAUCACAAACAAUAGAUCUCUCAAUUGUUGUUUGUGGAACAAAUACGUUCGAAAGAAUGUAUUUGGGUAUAUGCAUUUGUAUAGCGUCAGCAAACAUGUGAUCUCUAAACUUAAUUUGCAAAAGGGUUAGGUAGGGUGGUGGUAGUUCGCCAAACUGUUUGAGAUUAUAUGGUCAAGCGAAUAAGCGCAUACGGCGGAUGCCUAGGCGGUAAGAGGCGAUGAAGGACGUAGUAGCCUGCGAUAAGCUUCGGGGAGUCGGCAAACAGACUUUGAUCCGGAGAUUUCCGAAUGGGGAAACCCGG